This 505-nucleotide ribosomal RNA is filed under the name uncultured bacterium. RNAcentral's name for it is "bacterial SSU rRNA". It matches the Rfam family "Bacterial small subunit ribosomal RNA", at positions 15 to 507 of the family's 1533-position model. The record is from RNAcentral.
GAUCAUGGCUCAGGAUGAACGCUAGCUACAGGCUUAACACAUGCAAGUCGAGGGGAAACGACAUCGAAAGCUUGCUUUUGAUGGGCGUCGACCGGCGCACGGGUGAGUAACGCGUAUCCAACCUGCCCACCACUUGGGGAUAACCUUGCGAAAGUAAGACUAAUACCCAAUGACGUCUCUAGAAGACAUCUGAAAGGGAUUAAAGAUUUAUCGGUGAUGGAUGGGGAUGCGUCUGAUUAGCUUGUUGGCGGGGUAACGGCCCACCAAGGCAACGAUCAGUAGGGGUUCUGAGAGGAAGGUCCCCCACAUUGGAACUGAGACACGGUCCAAACUCCUACGGGAGGCAGCAGUGAGGAAUAUUGGUCAAUGGGCGAGAGCCUGAACCAGCCAAGUAGCGUGCAGGAUGACGGCCCUAUGGGUUGUAAACUGCUUUUAUAAGGGAAUAAAGUGAGCCUCGUGAGGCUUUUUGCAUGUACCUUAUGAAUAAGGACCGGCUAAUUCCGUG